This 253-nucleotide ribosomal RNA is filed under the name uncultured prokaryote. RNAcentral's name for it is "partial 16S ribosomal RNA". It matches the Rfam family "Bacterial small subunit ribosomal RNA", at positions 525 to 777 of the family's 1533-position model. The record is from RNAcentral.
ACAGAGGUCUCGAGCGUUGUUCGGAUUCAUUGGGCGUAAAGGGUGCGCAGGCGGUUGGGUGUGUCAGAUGUGAAAUCCCGAGGCUUAACCUCGGAACUGCGUCUGAAACUACUCGACUAGAGUACUGGAGAGGGUAACGGAAUUCACGGUGUAGCAGUGAAAUGCGUAGAUAUCGUGAGGAACACCGGAGGCGAAGGCGGUUACCUGGACAGUUACUGACGCUCAGGCACGAAAGCAUGGGGAGCAAAAGGGA